CCAAGAAAGGUGCACCAGAGAAGUACUGCUGUUUUGCUUCCAUUACCACCAAAAGUAGACUUUAAUGUGGCUCUAACCCGUGUUCAGUUGAGUUCCUCCUUAGGUGAGUUUCAGCAGGACUGUAGAUGUCUCUUCUUCCGUUUCAACUCACUCGGCUUCUCAGUAAACCUUUGGGAGUGACGGAGGAGAAAAGUCACAUGUGAAUGAAUCAGAGAAGGAGAGCAAGCCAUAUUGUAAGAGUCACUGUUUUAGCCCUGCUACACUCAUCUUCUGAUGAGGAGGAAGUAGAGUCAGAAGCUUCCAGGGACAAUAUUCCUGCUGCACCCUGGCUCAGCAGAUCCCACAAGCCCUCGGGUCUCCCUGCCGCUACCCCCUGGCAGUCUCUCAGACUCUAAAGUUCACCAACCAACUCCAAGCAGACAAGUCUCUUAAAGAUCCAAAUGCAGAAAGAUUGGCCAAGAGACCAGCUGCAGAAGAACGUCCAUUAGUGACAGACUCUACAUCAGACUUGCAAAUCUUGUGGAAGGGAAAGAGUCGUGCUGAUAAAUAAGGAACACUUGCAGAGCACAAAGAAAUCAGUUGUUCAAAGG
Molecule: long non-coding RNA, 590 nt
Organism: Thamnophis elegans (Western terrestrial garter snake)
Lineage: Eukaryota; Metazoa; Chordata; Lepidosauria; Squamata; Natricidae
Exons: 3
Source: RefSeq, a predicted model, not a curated record